Molecule: long non-coding RNA, 641 nt
Organism: Pleuronectes platessa (European plaice)
Lineage: Eukaryota; Metazoa; Chordata; Actinopteri; Pleuronectiformes; Pleuronectidae
Exons: 3
Source: RefSeq, a predicted model, not a curated record
GACGGCAAUGGACAAACCAAAGCGUAAAGGUGGAGCUGAAAAGCUCAGGGCCAAAAGGCUCAAAAAUCUAGCCGCAGACGCCGGAAAAUGUGCUAAAAUAACUGACAUGUUCAGUGGAGGUGCUUCGGGAGCCCCCUCCACCUCAGGUGAAUCAAGCACCACCAGCACCAGUGGACAGGGCGAGGAGGCUAGCUGUAGCGAUCCACCCAUGGAGACAGCACAGAUGGUGGAAGGGGGUGACGGUAGUAUUAGCCAUGAACAGGGAGGAGGAGAUGAUGAGUCCGAACCCGAGGCUCAUGGACUGAGUGAGCCGCUGCCGGUGCACCAGAGCUGAUUGGAACUGAAGAGCGCAGACAAGGCUAUGCACCAAGAGCUGAUUGGACUGAAGAGAGCAGAUAAGGCCAGUUCAUCGGCAGCUGCCAGGGGCUCUCUUCUCUCAACGUCCAGGUUUUCUGCCAGCUAUCAUGACAAAUUUAUAGAUUCAUUUUAAAUAAACAAUUGAGUGUGAAGUCACUGCACAUUUCCUGGUGUUUUUUUGGUACCUGAAAGAGAGUUUUUUUAGUUAAAUUGUGCACCUUUUCCACUAGGCCAGAACGUUUGUACAUUUAGAAGACAUAAGUUACGUCAAUUUAAUGGCAGAU